GAUGAACGCUGGCGGCGUGCCUAAUACAUGCAAGUCGAGCGAACAGACGAGGAGCUUGCUCCUCUGACGUUAGCGGCGGACGGGUGAGUAACACGUGGAUAACCUACCUAUAAGACUGGGAUAACUGCGAGAAACCGGAGCUAAUACCGGAUAAUAUAUUGAACCGCAUGGUUCAAUAGUGAAAGACGGUUUUGCUGUCACUUAUAGCUGGAUCCGCGCCGCAUUAGGUAGUUGGUAAGGUAACGGCUUACCAAGGCAACGGUGCGUAGCCGACCUGAGAGGGUGGAGGGCCCAGCGGGGAGUGGGGCACGGGUCGAACUUCCACCGGAGGCAACAGGUAGGGAAGGUACGCGAGGGGAAAAAUGCUGAAGGGGCAAAGGCCGGUUGGAGAUGAAAGGCUUCGGGUUGGAAAACCCUUGUAUUAGGGAAGAACAAAUGUGUAAGUAACUAUGCACGUCUUGACGGUACCUAAUCAGAAAGCCACGGCUAACUAC
Molecule: ribosomal RNA, 494 nt
Filed under: uncultured bacterium
Lineage: Bacteria
Description: partial 16S ribosomal RNA
Rfam family: Bacterial small subunit ribosomal RNA
Source: RNAcentral